UUAGCUAUUUUAGAUAGGUUUGUAUUCAUCAUGAUGGGUACAAACAACUUGAGUGUUUUUUGUAUCUAUGAUGGCUAGAGCAUUUCGAUGUACCACCGGCCGCAUAGAGAAAUCUAAGUGGCUGAAGAAUCAUACUAUUUUUGUAUUCGUAUCACCCACUUAGAGUUUCGACAAUUCUA
Enterococcus sp. 3H8_DIV0648 is the source of this 179-nucleotide non-coding RNA. Lineage: Bacteria; Bacillati; Bacillota; Bacilli; Lactobacillales; Enterococcaceae. The record is from Rfam.